GGGGCUGUGGCUCGGUGGCAGAGCACUCGCCUAGCACGUGAGAGGACCUGGUUCAAUCCUCAGCACCA
This 68-nucleotide transfer RNA is filed under the name Marmota monax (woodchuck). It matches the Rfam family "tRNA". From Rfam's summary of the family: Transfer RNA (tRNA) molecules are approximately 80 nucleotides in length. Their secondary structure includes four short double-helical elements and three loops (D, anti-codon, and T loops). The record is from Rfam by way of RNAcentral. Lineage: Eukaryota; Metazoa; Chordata; Mammalia; Rodentia; Sciuridae.